UGUGCAUCAACUCAAACCAAAUGUAGCUAUGUGUACAAAAUAUUUUGGGGUAUUUGUUUCCCACUAAAUUUUUGGUCAUCAUAAUUCAGGCAAUGCAACCUGAUCAAACUUGGGCAAAUAAACAUAUACCAAUUAUCUAUGGAGCAUGAAGACUCAUCUAUGGUCAAAUGCUCCAGAUUGUUGACGUUCAUGAUACAUCUCCAAAAGAGCUGAGAUACAGGAGAACACCAAUGUAUUGUUUUAAAUCAAGCGUUCAUCCAAGUGGCCUGAAAGGUGAAAGUAAACGAGGCGUCCAGUUUCCACAGUACAGUAUUUAACAAAGUUAUAAAAUAGUAGUACAUCUGAAGUGCCUUGGACGAGCAAAGAUAACAGCAGUUCCCCGAGAAGCUGGAUAGACGCACACGGCAGUUAGGUAAGUAUCUGGCUCCUGACUUUGACAGCACACACUUUUACCUGGCUCGAACUGGGCUUCCCGCUGAGGUAGCCGCCUCACACAGCACAAUCGCUGAGAGACAAAGCACAAGCAGCGCUUUCCCCGUGUUGUCCCUCCUCCUGCAGCCUGCAGCCGGUUCCACGGACUAAGCGAUGCCGAGGCGGACUCACCACACCGAAAGAGGGAGCUCGACUCCUGCCACUAUCCGACCCCGGAGCUGUCUGCCUCUGCUUGUUCGGCUGGCGGGGAUUUACUGCAACUCAUCUAGAAAGCCUACUGAAGCGGCCACGGAAGACUUGAAAUAAACGAACUGCUAUCACGACCAUCUAUCUCACAUCUACAUGAUAGUAAUCAUUAAGAACAAUUAACACACUCCUUUAACAAUGCAUCCCUAUCCUUAACAUGUUCCGUUCAAAA
This is a long non-coding RNA of Tachysurus fulvidraco (yellow catfish), 850 nucleotides long. RefSeq lists it as uncharacterized. The record is from RefSeq and is a predicted model, not a curated record. The transcript is spliced from 2 exons. NCBI's taxonomy places the organism in Eukaryota, Metazoa, Chordata, Actinopteri, Siluriformes, Bagridae.